RNAcentral lists this long non-coding RNA (603 nucleotides) under Callithrix jacchus (white-tufted-ear marmoset). RNAcentral describes it as "lncRNA (ENSCJAG00000078487.1)". Lineage: Eukaryota; Metazoa; Chordata; Mammalia; Primates; Cebidae. The record is from RNAcentral.
GCAAAAUAGUUAUCUGGCCCCUCCAAGGAAAGAAGGCAAUUCUUAAGAUGUGAAGGUGUAGGCACAGAAGAAAGGUUAAGGAAGGAGGGACACCAGGCCUUUGUGCAUUGCCACUUCUCACUUUAACAGCCCUUUCAUCAAAAUGUGUCUGCAGCUCAGAUUGCAAGCCCCCACCUAUGUUGGUUAAUUCUGCUCCACAUGGAAGAGACAGCCAUUGGGCCAGCCCUGAACCAAGAGCCACUGCUCCUACUACGGUCAAGCAAGGAGAAGGGUUUACCUCGGCGCUAUGUUAACUCUGCCAUGCUUGUUGAUAAUAAAAUUCAAAGAGAUGUGGACCAUCUGGACAUACCGCAGGAUAUUACAUUGAUCCAGUACAGCUAUGAUAUCAUGCUAAUUGGACAAGGAGUACGAUAUUCAAAUGCAAAGGAAGAGCGCAGAAACAGCCGAGGAAGAAUUGAAUCCCAAGGAAGGUAUGGAGCAUAUCAGAGAGAACCUUGAUGCCCAAAAGAGUCGAGGUCCCCAGGUUCAGUAAGUCACUGGAGUUCUGCCAGGAUUUGUGUUGGUGCUUACAAAGCUAUUUUCCUACAUCUAGGACCAAAAAUA